GCUCUAAUAAUUUAAUUAAAAUAUUGGUCUUGUAAACCAAAAUUAAGGAAACUUUUAGAACU
Molecule: transfer RNA, 62 nt
Filed under: Trixagus sp. TRI01
Lineage: Eukaryota; Metazoa; Arthropoda; Insecta; Coleoptera; Throscidae
Description: tRNA-Thr
Source: RNAcentral